ACGAGCAACAAGAUAAUGUCAAUAACGAUAUAAUAUCAUAGGCAUCAUAAGCACAAAAGCGUCAGAAUUCUCACAAACAUUUACAAAGUGGACAUAGCUAAAUAUUCACAAAGCUUCAAAUUAUUUAGAGUAUCGCAGCAAAACGUGAACAGACUAUAUGUAUGAAGACAUAUAGCUAGGAGUAAAUUUCUUGACUGACUCUAUAAUAAGCUUCCAAAUCAUAAAGCUACCGUAGGAAAUGGAAAUACGGUACACGGUAAACAUCAAAAAUAAAAUCCUCACCAGCACCAGCCCUUUCCUCCAUCCUCGCUUAUCCUGCACAUUUAGAAAUACAUGCAGGGCUGAGUACAGAGUACUCAGUGAACAUGAGCCGAAAAUAAAUGAAAGCAUGCUCUUAGAGCUAUAUGUUGAACUUGCCCAUUUAAUGUGCAAACACAGGAGAUAUUUAGUUUUUAAAGAACCUGUGCAUGCACAAUCAAUAUAAACGUCAAAAUUAAUCAAUAGUAAUAUGAGUCUGCAGACAAAUAGUAUGUAUGUACCUUAAUACGGCAAAACAAUAAUAAACAUCGGGUGAAGAGAAGUAGGCCUUUUUCUCAACACCAUGACCGGCCAACUAAAAGACAGCUCACGGUCAUCAUCCGUGUACACAUUAACACAUACUGAUAUGUAGGGCCGAUAUCGUAUCAUCAUCAUCACAAUUAUCAUUUGCCGAGGUAACAUACAACAUCAUAAAAGCAUGGCAAGUCAACAACAUUAAUCAAAUCUUUAACUCGAUUAAUCAUACUUAUAAGUAUCAUACCAUUUUAGAAAGUAUGGCAAGUCAACAACAUUACUUCCCUCGAUACUUGAUGUAGCUAACUCUCGUCUUGUGCUCGUUUCUUCAAAUACCAUAGUCGAAAUAGGUGGUCCAUGUGAUAAUAUAAAAUAAGUCAGAAGACUUCCUCGCUAACCAUAUUACUCUUAUCUUAAUGUUAUCAUAACGUUUCUCAUCACUUCACUCCAACUAUAACAUUCUCAUAACAACUAGACUUCUUAAGUAAACACCAAUCUUAUUAACAACUUAUCACUCAUAUAGAACUAGACUACAUCAGCACACAAACACAUAGAUAAUUAAACACAUAGAUAAGUACACACAAUGCAUUAUCAAUCCUAAAUUAGCUCAUAGAAUAAUUAAUCAAGUUCAAUAGCACCUUAGCAAACACAUUUAAUUUUUUUUUUUUGUAAAAACGAAAAAAAAAUAUUUUUUUUAGUUGGGGAAAAAUUCCCAAAAAUUCAAUAUAGAAAGCUAAGGACAUAUAAUAGCACAUUCUUAAUCAAUUUACUAAAAAUAAUUUUCAUUAAAAAGAAAUUCCAAUUUAUGUCAUUUUUAACAAACUAACCUUAAAGUUUCUUCAUCGAAAAAUUCUCAAAAAUUCAAAUUAAGCUCACAUAAUACACAAUAACAUAAAUACGUGAUCAUAUAACACAAGAAAAAUCAAACAUCGACUUCCCAUUAUACUCAUCACAUUCGGCCAACAUAUAGGUUUUUAGGGGAUGAUUCAUUCCGUCUCAUAUCGCAUAUAUAAGCUCAAUUCAUCAUCAAUAAGCCACAUAUAGACAUGCUCAACUCAUAAUUCAUCUUAUAUACACAAGAUCUCAAGUAUGCACGCAAACUAAACUCGAAAAAUUUUCACAACUCAUUAUUAAUAAACAAUUUAAUCAUGCUUUCCUUUCCUAGUAAUCUAACUAACACAUAAACAUCAUCAAUUCAAGUAUUUAUCUCAUUAAUCAAAAGUUCCCAAUUAUUAGUAAACUAAACUUAACCAAUUUUAGGCUUUCUCAAUAAUUAACCAAAUUGAUCCCUAAUUAUCAUUUCUAUCAUGCUUAAUAUCAAUUAACCUUAGCCAAUUUAAUCAAUUAAGACAUAGAUCAUAAAGUCCCAAUUUUUAACAAACUAAGCUUUUUGAAAAUUAGUAAACAUGCAUAAUUCAGAAAUCAAACCAUAGAUCUAUCAAAUUGAAUCACUUAAUUGCAUAAAUAAACAAUCAAUUAGUAAAUUAAACCAUAGAAUCAAUUUUGCCCAAAUUACAUCAAACUAACUCAUAUCAAAAAUCACUAAUCAAUCUCAAUCAUCAAUUCAAUCCAUCAAAUAUCAUAUUAGCAACCUCAAUAACAUAUAUUCAUCUUCAAUUCAUCAAUCCAGCCUCAAAUCCAAAACUUCCCAAAUUUACACAAACUAAACUAUUUCAAAUCUCAUAUCUCUUUUUAAAUCCAUUAUCUACACAUGGAAAUAGACUCAAUAGGAUCCCAAUAACAUUUAAAUAACCUCAAUUUAAGAAAAGAAAAUUAAUUUUUUUGAAGGGGUACAACCCUAAAUUUUGAAAAUUACAAGAAUUAAAUAGGAGAUGUUUUCUUGCUUGAUCUAUCCAUAUACACACAAAUAUAACUCAAAUAAAUCUAGAUCUAGGUAAAUUCAAUACUUACUCGAGGAUUAAAAAAAAAGCAAAAUCUUCCUUGAGCUUCAAAUCUUGAAACUUCUUUAAAACUUGUCUUGAUUCGAGGGAAAUGGAUAUUUAGAGCUUGAUUUAGGAUAGAUCUAGGUAUGUGAAUGAUUCUUGGAGCUUGGUAAUGACAUCAAUGGUUGUAGAGAGAGAAAAGAAAGUGAGAAGGAGAGAGGGAGAGAGAGAGAGAUCGAAAAUG
Molecule: long non-coding RNA, 2679 nt
Filed under: Salvia miltiorrhiza (redroot sage)
Lineage: Eukaryota; Viridiplantae; Streptophyta; Magnoliopsida; Lamiales; Lamiaceae
Description: long non-coding RNA (SMIL_LNC011283)
Source: RNAcentral